UAGUCAUAUGCUUGUCUCAAAGAUUAAGCCAUGCAUGUCUAAGUACAAGCCUCACUAAGGUGAAACCGCGAAUGGCUCAUUAAAUCACACCUAAUCUACUGGAUAGUUAACAGUUACUUGGAUAACUGCGGUAAUUCUGGAGCUAAUACAUGCACAAAGCCCCGAACUUACGUGAGGGGCGCUUUUAUUAGAUCAAAACCAAACGGCUUCGGCUGUAUCCUUGGUGACUCUGAAUAACUUUGGGCUGAUCGCAUGGCCUAGCGCCGGCGACAUAUCCUUCGAAGGUGUGCCCUAUCAACUGUCGACUGUGGCGUAGACGCCCACAGUGGUUUUGACGGGUAACGGGGAAUCAGGGUUCGAUUCCGGAGAGGGAGCCUUAAAAACGGCUACCACAUCUAAGGAAGGCAGCAGGCACGCAAAUUACCCAAUGACCGAAGGUCGAGGUAGUGACAAAAAAUAACGAUACGGGACUCAUCUGAGGCCCCGUAAUCGGAAUGAGUACACUUUAAAACCGUCCCCGAGGAUCUAUU
Molecule: ribosomal RNA, 530 nt
Filed under: uncultured eukaryote
Lineage: Eukaryota
Description: SSU rRNA
Rfam family: Eukaryotic small subunit ribosomal RNA
Source: RNAcentral